ACCGUGUGCCUACAACAAGUCAAAGCCCGUUAAUGGGUGAUGGCGUGCCUUUUGUAGAAUGAACCGGCGAGUUACGAUUGCAUGCGAGGUUAAGUUGAAGAGACGGAGCCGCAGCGAAAGCGAGUCUGAAUAGGGCGUUUGAGUAUGUAGUCGUAGACCCGAAACCAUGUGAUCUACCCAUGUCCAGGUUGAAGGUGCGGUAAAACGCACUGGAGGACCGAACCCACGUACGUUGAAAAGUGCGGGGAUGAGGUGUGGGUAGCGGAGAAAUUCCAAACGAACUUGGAGAUAGCUGGUUCUCUCCGAAAUAGCUUUAGGGCUAGCCUCGGAAUUGAGAAUGAUGGAGGUAGAGCACUGUUUGGACUAGGGGCCCAUCUCGGGUUACCGAAUUCAGAUAAACUCCGAAUGCCAUUCAUUCAUAUCCGGGAGUCAGACUGUGAGUGAUAAGAUCCAUAGUCGAAAGGGAAACAGCCCAGACCACCAGCUAAGGUCCCAAAAUAUAUGUUAAGUGGAAAAGGAUGUGGGGUUGCACAGACAACUAGG
This 543-nucleotide ribosomal RNA is filed under the name Enterococcus faecium. Its description in RNAcentral is "partial 23S ribosomal RNA". It matches the Rfam family "Bacterial large subunit ribosomal RNA", at positions 555 to 1097 of the family's 2925-position model. Lineage: Bacteria; Bacillati; Bacillota; Bacilli; Lactobacillales; Enterococcaceae. The record is from RNAcentral.